AGCUACAGGCUUAACACAUGCAAGUCGAGGGGCAGCAUGGUCUUAGCUUGCUAAGGCCGAUGGCGACCGGCGCACGGGUGAGUAACACGUAUCCAACCUGCCGUCUACUCUUGGACAGCCUUCUGAAAGGAAGAUUAAUACAAGAUGGCAUCAUGAGUCCGCAUGUUCACAUGAUUAAAGGUAUUCCGGUAGACGAUGGGGAUGCGUUCCAUUAGAUAGUAGGCGGGGUAACGGCCCACCUAGUCUUCGAUGGAUAGGGGUUCUGAGAGGAAGGUCCCCCACAUUGGAACUGAGACACGGUCCAAACUCCUACGGGAGGCAGCAGUGAGGAAUAUUGGUCAAUGGGCGAGAGCCUGAACCAGCCAAGUAGCGUGAAGGAUGACUGCCCUAUGGGUUGUAAACUUCUUUUAUAAAGGAAUAAAGUCGGGUAUGGAUACCCGUUUGCAUGUACUUUAUGAAUAAGGAUCGGCUAACUCCGUGCCAGCAGCCGCGGUAAUACGGAGGAUCCGAGCGUUAUCCGGAUUUAUUGGGUUUAAAGGGAGCGUAGAUGGAUGUUUAAGUCAGUUGUGAAAGUUUGCGGCUCAACCGUAAAAUUGCAAUUGAUACUGGAUAUCUUGAGUGCAGUUGAGGCAGGCGGAAUUCGUGGUGUAGCGGUGAAAUGCUUAGAUAUCACGAAGAACUCCGAUUGCGAAGGCAGCCUGCUAAGCUGCAACUGACAUUGAGGCUCGAAAGUGUGGGUAUCAAACAGGAUUAGAUACCCUGGUAGUCCACACGGUAAACGAUGAAUACUCGCUGUUUGCGAUAUACAGCAAGCGGCCAAGCGAAAGUGUUAAGUAUUCCACCUGGGGAGUACGCCGGCAACGGUGAAACUCAAAGGAAUUGACGGGGGCCCGCACAAGCGGAGGAACAUGUGGUUUAAUUCGAUGAUACGCGAGGAACCUUACCCGGGCUUAAAUUGCAGAUGAAUUACGGUGAAAGCCGUAAGCCGCAAGGCAUCUGUGAAGGUGCUGCAUGGUUGUCGUCAGCUCGUGCCGUGAGGUGUCGGCUUAAGUGCCAUAACGAGCGCAACCCUUGUUGUCAGUUACUAACAGGUUCCGCUGAGGACUCUGACAAGACUGCCAUCGUAAGAUGUGAGGAAGGUGGGGAUGACGUCAAAUCAGCACGGCCCUUACGUCCGGGGCUACACACGUGUUACAAUGGGGGGUACAGAGGGCCGCUACCACGCGAGUGGAUGCCAAUCCCCAAAACCUCUCUCAGUUCGGACUGGAGUCUGCAACCCGACUCCACGAAGCUGGAUCCGCUAGUAAUCGCGCAUCAGCCACGGCGCGGUGAAUACGUUCCCGGGCCUUGUACACACCGCCCGUCAAGCCAUGGGAGCCGGGGGUACCUGAAGUGCGUAACCGCGAGGAGCGCCCUAGGGUAAAACUGGUGACUGGGGCUAAGUCAUAACA
Molecule: ribosomal RNA, 1451 nt
Filed under: uncultured organism
Description: SSU rRNA
Rfam family: Bacterial small subunit ribosomal RNA
Source: RNAcentral